CUCCAUCAGGGACAUUCUUGAGGUUUAACCUUGAUCCCUUAUGCUGCGGGCCCCAGCCUGUUGCUUCUGUUAGCAGAGGUUGGGUCAGCUCGAACCACUGCUCUCCAGAGAAUUGCUGGCUCACAUGGCUUGGAGAGCUCCCAGCGCCUUUCUCAGGCACCCCUCCCCCCACUGCCGUUCCUCCAGGCCAAGGAAGGUAGGGUUGGGGCUGGGGCAGCUUGUCUCCUUGUGACACUCCUCUCCUCCCACAGGGUCCCCAGCCCCACCCCAGCCCCAAAGGAGGCUGUUCGAGAGGGACGUCCUCCGGAGCCAACCCCAGCCAAACGGAAGAGGCGCUCUAGCAGUUCCAGUUCCAGCUCCUCCUCUUCAUCUUCCUCUUCCUCUUCCUCCUCCUCUUCUUCCUCCUCCUCUUCCUCUUCUUCCUCUUCCUCCUCAUCUUCCUCCUCCUCCUCGUCUUCCUCCCCUUCCCCUGCUAAGCCUGGCCCUCAGGCCUUGCCCAAACCUGCAAGCCCCAAGAAGCCACCCCCUGGCGAGCGGAGCCUCCUCCCUGUCUCCCCGUCUCCACGCCAUUCUCUUCCACAUGUAGCCAGAGGGACCUUUCUAAAACGCACAUCUGGCUACUUCCCUCCACUCCACAAAUCCUUCGGGACGCCCUGUGGCCUGCAGGACAAAGCCCCACCUCUGCGGGAGUGGCGUGUGAGGCUCUUCACCAACGGGCCUUGCCCGCCCUGUGUUCUCCUCCUGCCCGCCCCCACACAUGCCCUGUGCUCCAGCCACACCCAGCGCCUUGCAGUCUAAGGAGAGCCCAUGCCUUUGGACAUGCUGUUCCUUCUGCCUGGAAUUUCCUUGUCCGCCUGGUGAACUCCUCGUUCUGCAAGACUCCGCUCAAAACAGCACCUUCGAGAAGACUGCCCUGCCCCUUCCCUGCCCUGCCCCAUGUCCCCCUCCCUUGGGUCCCCAGAGCCACGCACAUCCAGCCCUGCUUCCCACACACGGGGCCGUGCGUGCCUUUCUUCACCACUGAGCUCCUUCAAGGGCAGGGACUGUCUUUAUCUUUGCAUCCCCCGCUGCACCCUGUGCCUGCCCACUGGGCACUCGGUGGAUGGUGUGCGGGCGGAUGGGUGAGUGAGCGGACAAAGGU
This 1141-nucleotide small RNA is filed under the name Pongo abelii (Sumatran orangutan). RNAcentral describes it as "retained intron". The record is from RNAcentral. Lineage: Eukaryota; Metazoa; Chordata; Mammalia; Primates; Hominidae.